RNAcentral lists this ribosomal RNA (274 nucleotides) under uncultured bacterium. Its description in RNAcentral is "partial 16S ribosomal RNA". It matches the Rfam family "Bacterial small subunit ribosomal RNA", at positions 523 to 796 of the family's 1533-position model. The record is from RNAcentral.
AUACGUAGGUCCCAAGCGUUGCGCGAUCUCACUGGGCGUAAAGCGUCCCCAGCCGGUCCGGUAAGCGGAUUGUCAAAACCCGCGGCUCAACCGCGGUAGGGCAACCCGAACUGCCGGACUUGAGGCAAUCCCAGGCAGGCGGAAUUCCCGGUGUGGCGGUGAAAUGCGUAGAUAUCGGGAGGAACACCAAAGGGGAAGCCAGCCUGCUGGGGCUGCCCUGACGGUCACGGACGAAAGCUGGGGGAGCAAACCGAAUUAGAAACCCUAGUAGUCC